Molecule: ribosomal RNA, 503 nt
Filed under: uncultured bacterium
Lineage: Bacteria
Description: partial 16S ribosomal RNA
Rfam family: Bacterial small subunit ribosomal RNA
Source: RNAcentral
AUUGAACGCUGGCGGCAGGCUUAACACAUGCAAGUCGAGCGGGGUGAUGGUGCUUGCACUAUCACUUAGCGGCGGACGGGUGAGUAAUGCUUAGGAAUCUGCCUAUUAGUGGGGGACAACAUCUCGAAAGGGAUGCUAAUACCGCAUACGUCCUACGGGAGAAAGCAGGGGAUCACUUGUGACCUUGCGCUAAUAGAUGAGCCUAAGUCGGAUUAGCUAGUUGGUGGGGUAAAGGCCUACCAAGGCGACGAUCUGUAGCGGGUCUGAGAGGAUGAUCCGCCACACUGGGACUGAGACACGGCCCAGACUCCUACGGGAGGCAGCAGUGGGGAAUAUUGGACAAUGGGGGGAACCCUGAUCCAGCCAUGCCGCGUGUGUGAAGAAGGCCUUAUGGUUGUAAAGCACUUUAAGCGAGGAGGAGGCUCUUUUGGUUAAUACCCAGAAUGAGUGGACGUUACUCGCAGAAUAAGCACCGGCUAACUCUGUGCCAGCAGCCGCCGUAA